CACCGAAAGCACUGUCGCUUUCGGUGGCGGCCUACAGAUGGCAGCACAGGUAGCGCCGGUAAAGUUACAGGUGAUAUUAUUUUGCCGUCCUCAGUUGUCGCCACAUGUGAGUGCUUGCUGCAUUGACGCCGUCCGAUGUAGUUGUUUAAUCGUGUGUACGCUGUUCCGAGAGAAAUUGUGGUGCAUUUUGUAUGCAUUGAGAAUCACAAAACCCCUGGGACCGCGUAAUGUAGCCCGCAGUAUCCUUCGUGUGGUGCGCCGAUGUCGAAGAUAUGACCCUUCGCGCUUCCUUUGUUCCGGGCUCGUGAACAGGAUCUCCUCCUCUGGCACUGUCGCAUCGUAUCGCGCUGUACGGAAGAAUUUGGUGAAAGUUGUGCUCUUACGUCCUGUAGUUGAUCCGCAAUUCAACAGUGUGUGCGCCGGAAGGACCGUUGGUGCAGUCGAUGCCGCGGCACCUGUGACGCUAAAAGGAGCGUUUUCCGAGUACGCCUAGAAAGGGAUGGCAAGAUUUUGUGAACCAGAGGCACCUCCACAUAUGCACCUGCGGCACUUCUGCAGCCUCAACAGCACGGAAAAGUACCUGAUGUGCAUGCUGUGACAAGCUGCUGUAGGUAUGGCUGGACCUGGAGAAGAAGUGUAAGCAGACCAUGCUAUGUUGCUGAUCUGCGCUGAUCUCCACAUCCAAGUUGGUCCCGCGACAGUUGGGCACCAUUGUGCCUUGCUUCAUUGACAAGGCGAUAUAAUAUGGUGCCCUGCUCGCUCUCACCCAAGCAACCCACUCCAGCGGUCUUCUCUCGGCAGACUGGAUGCAUCGAAAUACCGUUAGAAGGUCCAAUAAACAGUGCUUGGGACAUUUA
RNAcentral lists this long non-coding RNA (857 nucleotides) under Dermacentor andersoni. Its description in RNAcentral is "uncharacterized LOC126526042". Lineage: Eukaryota; Metazoa; Arthropoda; Arachnida; Ixodida; Ixodidae. The record is from RNAcentral.